GGACCCAUUCCCCAGCUGGUGCCUGGGAUUAGCAGUACAGGAGCUGAGUGAGGAAGACUCAGGGCAUAGUGCAAAGGGGUAAUGGGGCGGGACCUGAAGCAGCUGGAGUCCAUUAGGUCCCCAGGAAACCAGUCAACUAUUUAAAAGGAGGAGUCAGCAAUACCUUUGAGGCAGUAACUACUAGUGAGCCACAGUGAGGAAACAAGACGCCCCUGCAAACAAUGGAAGUGACUGUUGUAAAGCAAACUGUGGCAUAACUUUGCAACCUGACCCCCUACCCACCCAGAGGAAUGGAGCGGCCACUGUCUAACAUGAUUUACCUGCUCGAGUUUAUGGAAGGAGCUGGAACUGCUGGUCGUCUCCAUUUGGAAAGCAAGCACGCAGCGCACUAGAGGAAGCACGUCAGCAUCCUCUAGCUCCCGUAAUCCCUUGCUCAUCUCCUGAAAGAGCAGAAGCGCCUCCUCCAGAUUUUUAUCUUUACACCUCUUCACAGAACCCCUGGAAAAAUGAAACCCAGGAUUGUCAUGUUAACGCUGACUUGUUCCAAACACCUCCAGCUGAGAGAGGGGAAGAGUUCAGACUGCAGUUAUGGUCAGUAUGGUUUCGGAGCGGGACAGGGAAAACUACAGUGCUUUAUCUGCCUUUUGCUUAGCACCCAUCCCAAUAGUAUGUAUAGCGCGCAUGUUUAAAUUACAUUUAUUCAUUUAAAUGCAUUGGUCUAGAUUUUCAUAA
This is a long non-coding RNA of Dermochelys coriacea (leatherback sea turtle), 732 nucleotides long. RefSeq lists it as uncharacterized. The transcript is spliced from 2 exons. NCBI's taxonomy places the organism in Eukaryota, Metazoa, Chordata, Testudines, Dermochelyidae. The record is from RefSeq and is a predicted model, not a curated record.